This 425-nucleotide ribosomal RNA is filed under the name uncultured bacterium. RNAcentral describes it as "partial 16S ribosomal RNA". It matches the Rfam family "Bacterial small subunit ribosomal RNA", at positions 354 to 796 of the family's 1533-position model. The record is from RNAcentral.
GUGAGGAAUAUUGGGCAAUGGGCGAAAGCCUGACGCAGCCAUGCCGCGUGAAUGAUGAAGGUCUUAGGAUUGUAAAAUUCUUUCACCGGGGACGAUAAUGACGGUACCCGGAGAAGAAGCCCCGGCUAACUUCGUGCCAGCAGCCGCGGUAAUACGAAGGGGGCUAGCGUUGCUCGGAAUUACUGGGCGUAAAGGGCGCGUAGGCGGACAGUUUAGUCAGAGGUGAAAGCCCAGGGCUCAACCUUGGAAUUGCCUUUGAUACUGGCUGUCUUGAGUACGGGAGAGGUGAGUGGAACUCCGAGUGUAGAGGUGAAAUUCGUAGAUAUUCGGAAGAACACCAGUGGCGAAGGCGACUCACUGGCCCGUUACUGACGCUGAGGCGCGAAAGCGUGGGGAGCAAACAGGAUUAGAAACCCUGGUAGUCC